Molecule: ribosomal RNA, 464 nt
Filed under: Vreelandella stevensii
Lineage: Bacteria; Pseudomonadati; Pseudomonadota; Gammaproteobacteria; Oceanospirillales; Halomonadaceae
Description: partial 16S ribosomal RNA
Rfam family: Bacterial small subunit ribosomal RNA
Source: RNAcentral
CCUACGGGUGGCUGCAGUGGGGAAUAUUGGACAAUGGGGCAACCCUGAUCCAGCCAUGCCGCGUGUGUGAAGAAGGCCCUCGGGUUGUAAAGCACUUUCAGUGAGGAAGAACGCCUGGUGGUUAAUACCCAUCAGGAAAGACAUCACUCACAGAAGAAGCACCGGCUAACUCCGUGCCAGCAGCCGCGGUAAUACGGAGGGUGCGAGCGUUAAUCGGAAUUACUGGGCGUAAAGCGCGCGUAGGUGGCUUGAUAAGCCGGUUGUGAAAGCCCCGGGCUCAACCUGGGAACGGCAUCCGGAACUGUCAAGCUAGAGUGCAGGAGAGGAAGGUAGAAUUCCCGGUGUAGCGGUGAAAUGCGUAGAGAUCGGGAGGAAUACCAGUGGCGAAGGCGGCCUUCUGGACUGACACUGACACUGAGGUGCGAAAGCGUGGGUAGCAAACAGGAUUAGAUACCCCGGUAGUC